UGGAGACGAAGACGAGGUCUGGUUGUGACAAAGGUUUAGUGGUGAUGAAGAAAUAGACUAGAAAGACAAGAUCUGUGAGAUUAGGAAGCAUGAGAUUAACGAAGAAAAAAAAAAGUAAAAGCGAAAGAGAAGAGAAAGGGACGGAAAGAAAUACAAGAGAAGAGAUUAGGGAGACAAGAUCUUGUCUAUUAGAUUUAGGUUAAUCAACGGUUGUGGUUAAAAAUGUCUGAUCCUUGCCUUUGAGAUUUAUUUGUCAGUUUUUUUGUGUCUAUGAAUUGCAUUAACUUGAACUGAAGUAAGCUUAGGAAUCUAAAACAAAGCCCCAAAGAGAUACGGGAGACACACGGCCGGCAAAGACACCUUUCCAAAGCCAUGAAACUAAACAAGAGAAAUAAAGAAACUACAACAAUAUAGGCAGCAAUUUUCAUUUAAGAAAAUCAAUCUUUCCAUCAACACUGGUGAUAGGAGCACGGCAAACCAACAUUGAAGGAAAGGAGAUAGCAAACCCCAACAUAAGUGUCAAAAACACCAGAUAAAGCACCACUGGAUAAAGGAUAAGGUGAUCCCUUGCUUAACCCUCGUCCCAAAGUAAUCAGAGA
Molecule: long non-coding RNA, 599 nt
Filed under: Brassica napus (rape)
Lineage: Eukaryota; Viridiplantae; Streptophyta; Magnoliopsida; Brassicales; Brassicaceae
Description: long non-coding RNA (BNAP_LNC005288)
Source: RNAcentral